This 518-nucleotide ribosomal RNA is filed under the name uncultured bacterium. Its description in RNAcentral is "bacterial SSU rRNA". It matches the Rfam family "Bacterial small subunit ribosomal RNA", at positions 131 to 644 of the family's 1533-position model. The record is from RNAcentral.
CUUAAGUGGGGAAUAACGCAUCGAAAGAUGUGCUAAUACCGCAUAUACUCUGAGGAGGAAAGCAGGGGACCGUAAGGCCUUGCGCUUUUGGAGCGGCCGAUGUCUGAUUAGCUAGUUGGUGGGGUAAGGGCCUACCAAGGCGACGAUCAGUAGUUGGUCUGAGAGGACGACCAGCCACACUGGGACUGAGACACGGCCCAGACUCCUACGGGAGGCAGCAGUGGGGAAUUUUGGACAAUGGGCGCAAGCCUGAUCCAGCAAUGCCGCGUGAGUGAAGAAGGCCUUCGGGUUGUAAAGCUCUUUCAGUCGAGAAGAAAAGGCUACGGUAAAUAAUCGUAGUUCAUGACGGUACCGACAGAAGAAGCACCGGCUAACUACGUGCCAGCAGCCGCGGUAAUACGUAGGGUGCGAGCGUUAAUCGGAAUUACUGGGCGUAAAGGGUGCGCAGGCGGCUUUGUAAGUCAGAUGUGAAAUCCCCGGGCUUAACCUGGGAAUUGCGUUUGAAACUACAAAGCUAG